RNAcentral lists this ribosomal RNA (497 nucleotides) under uncultured bacterium. Its description in RNAcentral is "partial 16S ribosomal RNA". It matches the Rfam family "Bacterial small subunit ribosomal RNA", at positions 28 to 507 of the family's 1533-position model. The record is from RNAcentral.
GAUGAACGCUGGCGGCGUGCCUAAUACAUGCAAGUCGAGCGAACGGACGAGAAGCUUGCUUCUCUGAUGUUAGCGGCGGACGGGUGAGUAACACGUGGAUAACCUACCUAUAAGACUGGGAUAACUUCGGGAAACCGGAGCUAAUACCGGAUAAUAUUUUGAACCGCAUGGUUCAAAAGGAAAAGACGGUCUUGCUGUCACUUAUAGAUGGAUCCGCGCUGCAUUAGCUAGUUGGUAAGGUAACGGCUUACCAAGGCAACGAUGCAUAGCCGACCUGAGAGGGUGAUCGGCCACACUGGAACUGAGACACGGUCCAGACUCCUACGGGAGGCAGCAGUAGGGAAUCUUCCGCAAUGGGCGAAAGCCUGACGGAGCAACGCCGCGUGAGUGAUGAAGGUCUUCGGAUCGUAAAACUCUGUUAUUAGGGAAGAACAUAUGUGUAAGUAACUGUGCACAUCUUGACGGUACCUAAUCAGAAAGCCACGGCUAACUACGUG